AUUGAACGCUGGCGGCAUGCUUUACACAUGCAAGUCGAACGGCAGCACGGGGGCAACCCUGGUGGCGAGUGGCGAACGGGUGAGUAAUAUAUCGGAACGUACCCGGAAAUGGGGGAUAACGUAGCGAAAGUUACGCUAAUACCGCAUAUGCCCUAAGGGGGAAAGCGGGGGAUUCGCAAGAACCUCGCGUUUUCGGAGCGGCCGAUAUCGGAUUAGCUAGUAGGUGAGGUAAAGGCUCACCUAGGCGACGAUCCGUAGCUGGUCUGAGAGGACGACCAGCCACACUGGAACUGAGACACGGUCCAGACUCCUACGGGAGGCAGCAGUGGGGAAUUUUGGACAAUGGGCGCAAGCCUGAUCCAGCCAUGCCGCGUGAGUGAAGAAGGCCUGGUUGUAAGCUCUUUCCUAGCCGGAAAGAAAACGACACGGGUUAA
Molecule: ribosomal RNA, 434 nt
Filed under: uncultured bacterium
Lineage: Bacteria
Description: bacterial SSU rRNA
Rfam family: Bacterial small subunit ribosomal RNA
Source: RNAcentral